AAAAAAAAAAAAAAAAAAAAAACAAUAAAGACCAAAUAUAGGAGCAUUAAGCAGAAUCCAACCUGUAACUAGUACUCGAUUUAAUUACAUCUGCCCCUUAAGUAGCUCCUCAAGAAUAAUAUGAAACAACUGUAAGACGGAAAAAACACUUUGACUACCUGAUUUUCUUUUACAAAAAAAAAAAAAAAAAAAAGCAAGUUAUAGUCAAUCAACCACAAUUAAAUCAAAAUAGAAGGUUAUUACACCAAUCAGCCCCUAAAGAAUUAAACAAUACUUACACACCUGCAAAUCGUUGAGCAUCCAGCAACAUAACAGCAAACCAGCAUAUGAUUCACCAGCAGUCUGAAAAUUUGGCGAGUUUGUACACAGGCGAUAAAACAUGCAGAAGCAACCAUGCUCGUCCAGACAUUCUCUAUUUUGCCAACUUCAGUUGCAUCACCAGUUAUAUUCCGCUUAAGUUCCCUUAAAAGCCAACUUGUCAAAUUC
Molecule: unclassified non-coding RNA, 486 nt
Filed under: Hevea brasiliensis (rubber tree)
Lineage: Eukaryota; Viridiplantae; Streptophyta; Magnoliopsida; Malpighiales; Euphorbiaceae
Source: RNAcentral